Molecule: non-coding RNA, 588 nt
Organism: Camellia sinensis
Lineage: Eukaryota; Viridiplantae; Streptophyta; Magnoliopsida; Ericales; Theaceae
Source: RefSeq, a predicted model, not a curated record
AUCAACAAACACAGUUUGGUUCUUCAAAAUCAUGAAGAGAUUAUAGCAGCCAGGUAAUAUUUUGUGCUUGUCAUUUCGAAGUUUCUAAUCAUUUGUCUCAAUUGAGGUGUUUUGUCAUUUUUGUUACUGAAUUGAGAAUAUUGAUUGUACCUCUGGAAUGCAGUUUGUAGUGCAGCGAAAAAACAAACACUGCAAUGGGCUGCUUGGACACGUCAAGAGGAGGAAAGCUUCUGCACUGCAUUGCGGCAAGUUGGCAAGGCAUUUUUUGCUGACAUGGUUUUUGGUUUUUGGAAUUAUUUCUUACGAUAUAUCCUGACUCAUAUGAUGUCUUUUAACAGAAUUUCGACUUUGUCUUGAUGACAAAAAAUUCUAAAGAUACUAAUGCUACAAUGCUUCAAUGUAGUUGUGGAGUUUAUGUGAAGCAUUUAUCGGUUAUGCUUCGCUACUUCCAGGUUGCAACUAUGGAGCGGAAUGGAUGAGAAUGCUGUUGGCACCUGUGCUGAACUUAUAUUUGCUCCUAUCGAUGCCUCUUUUGCUGAUGAUGCACAUCUUUUGCCUUCUGGUUUUCGCAUCAUUCCUCUCGAUUCU